UAACAUCCAUUUCAUUCUCUCUUCAUUUCCUACCUUCUAUCUUAUAUCGUCGUAUAGAGUUUCUUGCGGUUUGAGUUUUUUUCAGUUCGGCUUCUCGUUCCUUCCUAUCAAAAAAGGGAAUCAGGUUUUCCGGUGGGCACGCUUCUUUCGGGAGGAAGGGCAAGGUUUUGCGUUCUUCCUUUCGUAUUCAUUUACGGCGCUCUACACGUAGCCUUGAUGGUGGAAGUGUAGCUUUGCAUGAAAUUGAUGGCAAUGUCGUGCGGUUGAAACUACAGGGAGCAUGUGGUUCCUGUCCAAGCUCUGUUACAACAAUGAAAAUGGGCAUUGAGCGUCGACUAAUGGAGAAGAUCCCUGACAUAGCUGGUGAAGAAACUGGUCUCGAGCUAAAUGAAGAAAACCCAGAGAAGGACUCUCCCAGUGGAGCUCCUCCACAACACAAGGUUUUCCACCUUUUAUCACUUCAUUAAUAAUUCUUUGCUAUUAAUGUUAUUAUAAUUGUUAUUUGAUCCAGACAUGCUCUUAGUUGCCCAUAUUAGUACAAGCUUUUGCAUUUUCCUGUGUGCUGUUUUAAUGGGGACCAAAUUUUUAGUUUUUUUCUAGUAUUUUAUAUAUUUUGGGAUGCAUGUUGAACAACUUUCCUAUGCUAUAUUUAUUUAUAAAGGAUAUAUUACUAAUAAUUUAGGAUUUAUUUAAUCAAUUGACCUUCUUAUCUUUAAAAACUAAAAGCAAUAUGAGUCUAAAGAUGGUUGCUUUAUCAUUUAAGGAUGAGUAACUUUUGUUUUUAAGAACAAGUUAAUGUCUAAUGACAAAAUCACAAUCAACACUGUAAACUUUUGAGCAUUAUCAAAUACUUUGUUUUUCUUAUUUUAUAAACUCUUAGAUAUAUUUAUAUAGAAGGAAAUGGUUAGUGUUAAAGAAUGACAGAAUGAUGAUAAUUGGUUAGUGUUAAAAUAGAGGAACAACUCUUCUUUUCUUAGCACUUGCUUGAUUGUAAUGUUCUUGUUAUUAGGAUUUUACAUUGAUUAAAUAAGAUGAAGGUAAGCACUAUGGGAUAAAAAGCAUGAUUGAAGGACGUUCAUACAAUUUUAGAAAUGUUGAAUCGUGGAUUCAAUAGGAUAGAUUAACCAAAAAGAAAAAAUCCUCUAGAGAAAUUUACUAAGCCCGUUUUAUAAAAUCCUCUGAUUACCAUGUUAAACUAUAUAGGAAAGAGAAAAACUGAGCUGAAACUAUAUGUUUACGAAACAACACAAAUGCUUUGUUUAUACUGAGAUAAACAAAAUUAAUACAACGUUAUAUACACUGGACUUAGCUCUUUACGUACAUGGUGGUAGUUCCACCCACCUCUCGGUUCUGUAGACUCCUAGACAAAAGAUUGAUGGUACUAUGUUGUUUCCCUCCCUUCGGCCAUGAUGAAUGUCAAGUUUGUACUGCAAACUAUUUUCACAUGAGACCUACAAUGUUUACCAUAAUCAUCCUGAAAUUCAUGUUUUCACCCCCUCGACUUAAAUACAAGUUAAUUCAUAUAUAUCACAAACUUUAUAUUCGUAACUAAAUCAAGUAAAACUUAAAAUAUAUUAAAUUUAAUU
Molecule: long non-coding RNA, 1586 nt
Organism: Vigna radiata var. radiata (mung bean)
Lineage: Eukaryota; Viridiplantae; Streptophyta; Magnoliopsida; Fabales; Fabaceae
Exons: 4
Source: RefSeq, a predicted model, not a curated record